Molecule: transfer RNA, 78 nt
Filed under: Streptomyces sp. SID6137
Lineage: Bacteria; Bacillati; Actinomycetota; Actinomycetes; Kitasatosporales; Streptomycetaceae
Also listed under: 1 other name
Description: tRNA-Arg
Source: RNAcentral
GCCGCAGUUCAGGUACGAGAUCACCCAGCCUCUCUCCUAAAGCGGGUGUCGCAGGUUCGAAUCCUGCCGGGGGCACCA